AGACCCGAAACCCGGUGAUCUAGCCAUGGGCAGGUUGAAGGUUGGGUAACACUAACUGGAGGACCGAACCGACUAAUGUUGAAAAAUUAGCGGAUGACCUGUGGCUGGGGGUGAAAGGCCAAUCAAACCGGGAGAUAGCUGGUUCUCCCCGAAAGCUAUUUAGGUAGCGCCUCGUGAAUUCAUCUCCGGGGGUAGAGCACUGUUUCGGCUAGGGGGCCAUCCCGGCUUACCAACCCGAUGCAAACUGCGAAUACCGGAGAAUGUUAUCACGGGAGACACACGGCGGGUGCUAACGUCCGUCGUGAAGAGGGAAACAACCCAGACCGCCAGCUAAGGUCCCAAAGUCAUGGUUAAGUGGGAAACGAUGUGGGAAGGCCCAGACAGCCAGGAUGUUGGCUUAGAAGCAGCCAUCAUUUAAAGAAAGCGUAAUAGCUCACUGGUCGAGUCGGCCUGCGCGGAAGAUGUAACGGGGCUAAACCAUGCACCGAAGCUGCGGCAGCGAACGUAUCACUUAAAGCGAUUCAGCGGGUUACGAUUGACGGAGCGAAGCGACGUCAAAGCGUAUACAAAGUCGAGUCGGUUUAAGGAUACGUUCGUUGGGUAGGGGAGCGUUCUGUAAGCCUGCGAAGGUGGCCUGUGAGGGUUGCUGGAGGUAUCAGAAGUGCGAAUGCUGACAUAAGUAACGAUAAAGCGGGUGAAAAGCCCGC
RNAcentral lists this ribosomal RNA (707 nucleotides) under Salmonella enterica subsp. enterica serovar Infantis. Its description in RNAcentral is "partial 23S ribosomal RNA". It matches the Rfam family "Bacterial large subunit ribosomal RNA", at positions 711 to 1333 of the family's 2925-position model. Lineage: Bacteria; Pseudomonadati; Pseudomonadota; Gammaproteobacteria; Enterobacterales; Enterobacteriaceae. The record is from RNAcentral.